Molecule: ribosomal RNA, 385 nt
Filed under: uncultured bacterium
Lineage: Bacteria
Description: bacterial SSU rRNA
Rfam family: Bacterial small subunit ribosomal RNA
Source: RNAcentral
AACGAACGCUGGCGGCGCGCCUAAUACAUGCAAGUCGAGCGAGAAGGUGUAGCAAUACACUUGUAAAGCGGCGAACGGGUGAGGAAUACAUGGGUAAUCUACCAUCGAGUGGGGAAUAACCAACCGAAAGGUUGGCUAAUACCGCGUACGCCUCCGAGUCUUCGGGUUCGGAGGGAAAGCUGCACUGUGAGUGUAGCGCUCUUUGAUGAGCUCAUGUCCUAUCAGCUUGUUGGUAGGGUAACGGCCUACCAAGGCUUUGACGGGUAGCUGGUCUGAGAGGACGAUCAGCCACACUGGCACUGCGACACGGGCCAGACUCCUACGGGAGGCAGCAGUAAGGAAUAUUGCGCAAUGGGCGAAAGCCUGACGCAGCGACGCCGCGUGG